This 360-nucleotide long non-coding RNA is filed under the name Nicotiana benthamiana. RNAcentral's name for it is "long non-coding RNA (NBEN_LNC010266)". Lineage: Eukaryota; Viridiplantae; Streptophyta; Magnoliopsida; Solanales; Solanaceae. The record is from RNAcentral.
AUAAUUUAUACCUCAUUAUUGCAAAGAGGGCACAUUAGAUUAUCAGUAAUUCUCCAGUUAGCAGGAGUGUCCCUUGUGAGUAGUCUUCUCUGAGCUACCAGGGUCAGAAUACACAGCCACCUUGGAGCACCAAAGUUGUUGCAAACUACUUUCCUGAGACUCGUUGGAACCCCCCUCUCAUUGCCUGAUACAAUUUCUUGAUUGAGAAGGUCUUCCAACCUAUCACCUCUAUCAUAGUCACCCUUGCAUCUUCGAUGUAUAGUCUUGCUUUGAUAAUUUUCUUAACCAUCCAAGAUGCCUGUCUUGGUGUAAUAUCUAAACUUGUUCUUUUCUUCCCCAUAGUAUUCGUGUACCCGUUCC